CCUACGGGAGGCAGCAGUCGAGAAUCAUUCACAAUGGGGGAAACCCUGAUGGUGCGACGCCGCGUGGGGGAAUGAAGGUCUUCGGAUUGUAAACCCCUGUCAUGUGGGAGCAAAUUAAAAAGAUAGUACCACAAGAGGAAGAGACGGCUAACUCUGUGCCAGCAGCCGCGGUAAUACAGAGGUCUCAAGCGUUGUUCGGAAUCACUGGGCGUAAGGCGUGCGUAGGCUGUUUCGUAAGUCGUGUGUGAAAGGCGCGGGCUCAACCCGCGGACGGCACAUGAUACUGCGAGACUAGAGUAAUGGAGGGGGAACCGGAAUUCUCGGUGUAGCAGUGAAAUGCGUAGAUAUCGAGAGGAACACUCGUGGCGAAGGCGGGUUCCUGGACAUUAACGGACGCUGAGGCACGAAGGCCAGGGGAGCGAAAGGGAUUAGAUACCCGAGUAGUC
This 446-nucleotide ribosomal RNA is filed under the name uncultured bacterium. RNAcentral describes it as "partial 16S ribosomal RNA". It matches the Rfam family "Bacterial small subunit ribosomal RNA", at positions 338 to 795 of the family's 1533-position model. The record is from RNAcentral.